CAGCCGCCACGGUAAUACAGAGGGUGCGAGCGUUAAUCGGAUUUACUGGGCGUAAAGCGUGCGUAGGCGGCUUCUUAAGUCGGAUGUGAAAUCCCUGAGCUUAACUUAGGAAUUGCAUUCGAUACUGGGAAGCUAGAGUAUGGGAGAGGAUGGUAGAAUUCCAGGUGUAGCGGUGAAAUGCGUAGAUAUCUGGAGGAAUACCGAUGGCGAAGGCAGCCAUCUGGCCUAAUACUGACGCUGAGGUACGAAAGCAUGGGGAGCAAACAGGAUUAGAUACCCGUGUAGUCCCUGUCUCUUAUAC
This 301-nucleotide ribosomal RNA is filed under the name uncultured bacterium. RNAcentral's name for it is "partial 16S ribosomal RNA". It matches the Rfam family "Bacterial small subunit ribosomal RNA", at positions 509 to 807 of the family's 1533-position model. The record is from RNAcentral.